This 241-nucleotide ribosomal RNA is filed under the name uncultured Lactobacillus sp. Its description in RNAcentral is "partial 16S ribosomal RNA". It matches the Rfam family "Bacterial small subunit ribosomal RNA", at positions 125 to 355 of the family's 1533-position model. Lineage: Bacteria; Bacillati; Bacillota; Bacilli; Lactobacillales; Lactobacillaceae. The record is from RNAcentral.
CCGUAGCCCAAGAGAUCGGGAUAACACCUGGAAACAGAUGCUAAUACCGGAUAACAACAGAUGAUGCCUAUCAACUGUUUAAAAGAUGGUUCUGCUAUCACUCUUGGAUGGACCUGCGGUGCAUUAGCUAGUUGGUAGGGUAACGGCCUACCAAGGCGAUGAUGCAUAGCCGAGUUGAGAGACUGAUCGGCCACAUUGGGACUGAGACACGGCCCCAAAACUCCUACGGGAGGCAGCAGUC